RNAcentral lists this long non-coding RNA (5380 nucleotides) under Brassica napus (rape). Its description in RNAcentral is "long non-coding RNA (BNAP_LNC013042)". The record is from RNAcentral. Lineage: Eukaryota; Viridiplantae; Streptophyta; Magnoliopsida; Brassicales; Brassicaceae.
CCAAAACGUCCAUGAAGACAACCAAAGAUCGGGUCGGGCCAAAGGUGAAUCAAGCCCACUCCACUAAGUAUUUUCUUAAGCUUUAAGUCUUUUGUAAAAUAUCUUAGUUAUGGAGAAGUGUAGAAAAGUGUAGAGAAGUGUAGAAACUUGUAGAACACUUGAGAAGAACCCUCACAACCGUUAGAUCAAUUUGAUCUGAACCGUCCGUUGAGGAGGAGAAAGUGUAUAUAAAGGGGAUCACCCCUCACUUGUAAAACCACCAAGUUUUAAUAAGAAAACUCUUCUACAAACUCUCUCUCUCUCUCUAAAUCGUCCACACACUCUCUCUAAGUACUGGGCGAGUUGUCCGAAAGGCUGACUUAGCAAACCAUAAGGAGGAAAGUUGCUAAGGCCGCACGUCCUGAUUGCUGUGAAGAAAUCAGUCCGUGACAGUUGGUAUCAGAGCCGAGUUACGAUCCAAACAAGAGGAGACUCUGGCCGAACGGAGAAAAUGGCUAAGGGAGAUAAACAAAAAGAAACGAGCUCACAGUCCGGCGUGGAGGAGCGUGGAAGGGAGUCCACGGCCACACGUGCUGGCACCCAGCGGGAAAAGAGUGUUUCUCGUGAGGCUUUGGGGGUGGCUGUGGGCGAGAUGGGUGAUAAGCUCGAGAGGGUCGAGCAUACCGUCACUGAGCUGGAGAGUGUUGUGUUCGGUGGGCUUGAGGAAGUCAAGCAAAAUGCUGCCGACUUGGACUCUCGGUUCAUUCGGCUCGAGGAGCUGGUGACGGGAUCCAUGCAGGCUUUGCGUGAUGACAUCGAGGGGAUGAAGGCACGCUUUACUGCGAUGGAGGAAGACAUCACGCUGGUCAAGAGGGCAAGCGCAAACGCUGGAGCCGUUAGCGGAACCAGUUUUGGUAAGGUUGAGCUUCCGAAACCAAACCGGUUCAACGGUGUGCGUGAUGCCAAGGAGGUCGAGAAUUUCCUUUGGCAGAUGGAGAUAUACUUCGACAAUCUCAGCGUGGUGGCUGAGAAUGCGAAGGUGAAGGCUGCGACCUCCUACCUGUCGGACACAGCCAUGUUAUGGUGGCGAAGGAAGCAUUCCGAGAUCGAGCAAGGAACCUGCCGGAUCGAUACUUGGGAUGACUUCAAGAAGGAACUGAAGCGGCAGUUCUACACAGAGAACGUCAUAUAUGAGGCCCGCAAGAAGUUGAGGGAACUUCGACAGCGCGGCUCGAUCCGGGUCUAUGUGAAGGAGUUCACAACGCUCAUGCUUCAGAUUCCGAAUAUGACCGCAGAGGAUCUGGUGUUCUACUUCACCGAUGGACUACAAUCUUGGGCCAAGCAAGAGUUGCAGCGUCGGGGAGUUAAGACGGUAGACGAAGCCAUCGCGGUGGCCGAGUCGCUAAUUGACUUCCGUACCUCUGGUCCGUCCGAGUCCUCGGAGAAGAAGGAGCAGGUCGUGGCCAAAGGUGGGGGAGCAAAACGGGACACUGGCCGACCAUCCAACUCAAGGAGUUUUGAGAAGGGUGUUCGUCGGGAAGACUUCGAGGCAAGAAAAAAGUCCUUUGUUCCUAAGGGAGGAUGCUUUGUGUGCAAGGGGCCACAUGCAAUGAAGGACUGCCCAAAGAUGGGGUCUUUAUCGGCUAUUAUGGAGAGUCGGGACCCCGAGACUCCAGAAGGGGAACCAAGAAAGAUGGGGUCGUUGCAACUUCUCAACGCCCUAAAGGCUAACCCGGUAGUGAAACCGACGAGCAAAGGGCUCAUGUACGUGGAAGCUUGGAUAAACGAUAAGCCGACCCGAGUGAUGGUGGACACGGGCGCCACUCACAACUUCAUGGCGACAGACGAAGCUGUGAGACUUGGCGUCAAGUGGUCCAAGAAGGAUGGUUGGAUGAAGACGGUGAACGCAAGGGCUCAGCCUGUCAAUGGUAUAGCUCGAGGCGUCGGGAUGAAGCUGGGAAGCUGGAGCGGCCCGGUGAACUUCUCAGUCAUUCCCAUGGACGAUUUCAAGGUAGUCUUGGGUAUGGACUUCAUAUGACAAGUCUCGGCCAUACCCAUGCCUGCAUUGAGCUCGGUCUGCAUCCUCGAGAAGGGUUCACCGUGCAUGAUUCCGACCUUGGAAGAGAAAAGUGAAGGGACGAGACAACUAUCGGCGAUGCAGCUCACCAAGGGGGUGAAGAAGGGUGAACCCACGUUUUUGGCCAUGAUGAAGGUGGAGGAUGAGCCCAAUAAAGUGGAGGACAUCCCUCAAAUCAUCAAAACGGUCCUUGAGGAGAACAAGGACGUUAUGCCGGCAAAGUUGCCAGAGAAGCUACCACCAAGGAGGGCGGUGGACCACCAGAUCGAGUUGGAGCCAGGAGCCAAACCACCAUCUAUGGCACCAUAUAGAAUGGCUCCAUCCGAACUAGAGGAGUUACGGAAACAACUCGAUGAGUUAUUAUCGAUGGGGAAGCUGAGACCGUCGAAGGCACCUUAUGGGGCCCCGGUUCUGUUCCAAAAGAAGCAUGAUGGCUCAUUGAGGAUGUGCGUGGACUACCGGGCCCUUAACAAGGUAACGAUCAAGAACCGUUAUCCCAUUCCGCUGAUUGCUGAUCUAUUCGAUAGACUUGGUGGGGCGAAAGUCUAUACGAAGAUGGACUUGCAGAAGGGUUACUACCAAGUCCGGAUAGCGGAAGGGGACGAGCCGAAGACUGCGUGCAUAACACGGUAUGGGUCGUUCGAGUGGAUGGUAAUGCCAUUCGGUCUUACGAACGCCCCCGCCACGUUUUGUACUCUAAUGAACCAGAUCCUACAGCCCUACUUGGAUCGGUUUGUGGUGGCAUACUUGGAUGAUAUCGUUAUCUACAGCAACUCGAUGGAGGAGCAUGUGGAACACUUGCGGACAGUAUUCCGGGUUCUCCGCGAGAAUGAGUUGUUUGUGAAGCGAGAGAAGUGUACUUUUGCCACCAAGGAAGUUCAGUUCCUUGGCCAUGUUAUCGGCCCUGGAAAGCUGAAGAUGGAUGAACCGAAGGUCAAAGCAAUUAUGGAGUGGGAGGCCCCGACCAAGGUAACGGAGUUGCGAUCUUUUCUUGGUCUGGUCAACUAUUAUCGUCGGUUCAUCGAGGGAUACUCAAAGAAAGCAGCACCACUGACGGAUCUUCUCAAGAAAGGGAAGACAUGGGACUGGUCCGGACCUUGUCAGGAGGCUUUCGAGGAACUGAAGACUGCGGUAAGCCAGGAACCCGUCCUUGCCUUACCCGACUUCAGUCUCCCUUUCGAGUUACACACGGAUACCUCCGACUUUGCUAUUGGGGGAGUGCUGAUGCAAAAUGGACAUCCAGUUGCCUUUGAAAGCCGUAAGCUCAAUGAGACUGAACGGCGGUACACGGUUCAAGAGAAAGAAAUGACCGCGAUAGUCCAUUGCUUGCGAGUUUGGAGACACUACCUUCUCGGGGCGCAUUUCUCGGUCAAGACGGACAAUGUGGCAACGAGUUACUUCCAAACACAGAAGAAGUUGUCCCCGAAACAAGCGAGAUGGCAAGACUUCCUGGCUGAGUUCGAUUACACUUUGGAGUACAAGCCAGGAAAGGUGAAUGUAGUUGCCGAUGCACUAAGUCGGAAGGCGGAGCUGGCAGCGAUGAGCCAAGUCAAGGGGACUAUUAUGGCUCGAAUUAGAGAGGGACUAGAACGUGAUCCAGUCGCUAAGGAGCUGGUGAAGCUAUCCAACGAGGGGAAGGUGCAUCGAUUUUGGGUAGAGGACGGGUUACUCUACACCAAAGGUCGAAGGCUUUAUGUGCCUAAGUGGGAGAGUCUUCGACGUGAUAUCAUCCGGGAGUGCCACGAUACGCGAUGGGCGGGCCAUCCGGGACAGAAAAGAACCAUGGCACUCGUCGAAGCUGGAUACUAUUGGCCACGGAUGAGGGAUACCGUGGAGCUUUAUGUGAAAACUUGUCUAGUCUGCCAACAAGACAAGUCGGAAAACAUGCAGCCCGCGGGAUUGUUACAACCACUACCCAUCCCGGAGCGACCAUGGGACUCGGUCUCGCUUGAUUUCAUCAGUGCGUUACCCAAGUCCGAAGGGUUUGGAUCCAUCCUUGUGAUUGUGGAUCGAUUCUCUAAAUAUGGGACGUUCGUGGCUUGUGAUCGGGACUGCACUGCGGAAGAGGCAGCAAAGGCGUUCUUCAAGAACGUGGUGAAGCUUUGGGGACUGCCUCGGAAUAUUGUAAGUGACCGGGAUCCCCGGUUCACUGGGCGUUUAUGGACAGAGCUGUUCAAAAUACUUGGGACGGAACUGAGCUUCUCAACCAGCUUUCACCCGCAAUCUGAUGGACAGACUGAAAGGGUGAAUGCCUUGCUUGAAAGUUAUCUCCGUCACUUUGUAAGCGCUAACCAACGGGACUGGGCGAAGUUGUUGGACAUAGCCCAGUUUUCAUACAACCUUCAACGCAGCGAGGCGACGGGACGGAGUCCGUUCGAGCUUGCAACGGGACAACAGCCAUUGACUCCGCACACCUUGGCCACACCAAGGACUGAAGGGAAGAGUCCUGGAGCGUUCAUAAUGGCUAAGCAGUGGGAAGAACAUGCUGACCUUGCCCGAGCAUGUUUGGAGAAAUCCCGAAAACGGAUGAAGAAAUGGGCAGAUGAGAAGAGACGGCCUUCGGAAUACUCAGUGGGCGACCUUGUACUUGUGAAAUUACUUCCACAACAGUUCAAGGCAUUCCGGAGCCUACACAAAGGAUUGAUCCGGAAGUACGAAGGACCGUUUGAGAUAGCUGGAAAGGUGGGAAAGGUUUCCUACCGGAUCGACCUACCGGAUACACUUAAGAUCCAUCCGGUCUUUCAUGUUAGCAUGCUGAAACCGUACCAUGCUGAUGAGGACGACCAAACCCGAAGGGUUUCGACUCGAGCACCACCUGUGGUGACUAAGUCGUAUGACAAAGAGGUCGAAGAGGUUCUGGCGUCCAAGGAAGUAAGGAAGCGAGGAGUCCCGAGACAGACCCAUUUCCUCAUUAAGUGGAAAGGACUGCCAGAGGCAGAAGCAACAUGGGAAUCGGAGGAAGACUUGUGGCAAUUCCGGGACAUACUGAAGGCAUACACGGCGACGAGGGCGUCACCGGCUUAGGUGGGGGAGGAUGUCACGGCCCGUUUUAACCCAAAACGUCCAUGAAGACAACCAAAGAUCGGGUCGGGCCAAAGGUGAAUCAAGCCCACUCCACUAAGUAUUUUCUUAAGCUUUAAGUCUUUUGUAAAAUAUCUUAGUUAUGGAGAAGUGUAGAAAAGUGUAGAGAAGUGUAGAAACUUGUAGAACACUUGAGAAGAACCCUCACAACCGUUAGAUCAAUUUGAUCUGAACCGUCCGUUGAGGAGGAGAAAGUGUAUAUAAAGGGGAUCACCCCUCACUUGUAAAACCACCAAGUUUUAA